GACGAACGCUGGCGGCGUGCUUAACACAUGCAAGUCGAGGGGGCCCAGCAAUGGGUCACCGGCGAACGGGUGCGUAACACGUGAGCGACCUACCCCGGUAUGGGGGAUAGCCGGCCCAACGGCCGGGUAAUACCGCACACGCUCUUCGGGUUUCAUGGCCUGGAGAGGAAACUUUUCUGGUACUGGGAGGGGCUCGCGGCCUAUCAGCUAGUUGGCGGGGUAACGGCCCACCAAGGCGAUGACGGGUAGCNGGUCUGAGAGGAUGGCCAGCCACAUUGGGACUGAGAAACGGCCCAGACUCCUACGGGAGGCAGCAGUGGGGAAUCUUGCGCAAUGGCCGAAAGGCUGACGCAGCGACGCCGCGUGGAGGAUGACGCCUCGGGU
Molecule: ribosomal RNA, 384 nt
Filed under: uncultured bacterium
Lineage: Bacteria
Description: bacterial SSU rRNA
Rfam family: Bacterial small subunit ribosomal RNA
Source: RNAcentral